GGACCUGACUGCUAUCGGAUUGAUACUAAGCCAUGCGAGUCAUUGUAGCAAUACAAGGCAUACGGCUCAGUAACGCGUAGUCAACCUAACCUAUGGACGGGAAUAACCUCGGGAAACUGAGAAUAAUGCCCGAUAGAACAUUAUGCCUGGAAUGGUUUAUGUUCCAAAUGAUUUAUCGCCGUAGGAUGGGACUGCGGCCUAUCAGUUUGUUGGUGAGGUAAUGGCCCACCAAGACUAUUACAGGUACGGGCUCUGAGAGGAGUAGCCCGGAGAUGGGUACUGAGACACGGACCCAGGCCCUAUGGGGCGCAGCAGGCGAGAAGACUUUGCAAUGUGCGAAAGCACGACAAGGUUAAUCCGAGUGGUUUCUGCUAAAGAAACCUUUUGUCAGUCCUAGAAACACUGAUGAAUAAGGGGUGGGCAAGUUCUGGUGU
This 434-nucleotide ribosomal RNA is filed under the name uncultured archaeon. RNAcentral's name for it is "bacterial SSU rRNA". It matches the Rfam family "Archaeal small subunit ribosomal RNA", at positions 19 to 458 of the family's 1478-position model. The record is from RNAcentral.